Molecule: long non-coding RNA, 1022 nt
Organism: Salvia splendens (bonfire salvia)
Lineage: Eukaryota; Viridiplantae; Streptophyta; Magnoliopsida; Lamiales; Lamiaceae
Exons: 2
Source: RefSeq, a predicted model, not a curated record
AAUGGCCUGUCUCCCGAUGUUUCAGCCUACUCUACCCUUAUAGAGGGUUUCCUCGUUUCUAAUAGGUUAGAAACUGUUAAAUCAUUAUUUUAUUAAAUGUCAUCCCAUCAUGUCAAACCCAAUCUGCCCAUGUCGCCUUUGUCUUUUCUUAUACCUCUUCAGUCAAUGAUAGGAGAAAACUUGACAAGAUGCGGUGCAAAUUGAUAAACAACUUAGGUAAUCUCAUGUCUUAUUCGAGUACAUUACUGAUUCCUUUGAUGUGUGUGGCUGUAUCUAUAAACGUUUCUGUAAUGCCCAAUAAAUCCUUAAUUUCUCCAUUGUCCGAUUUCUUAAACCCCCUGAAGCUCGUCAGUUUGCUCUCCUUAAAUCUCAAUUUGCAAAUCAUAAGUUUGCAUUUGCAUACAAAUGUAUCUCCAAACUUGUUGAAAAAGGAACUGCAUUGGUUGUGGCGCGAGUAAUUCUCCAUCCUUCAGAAGGGCAGAUGGUGAAAUUGUUUGGGAACCAUUUAAUGCGUUCAACAUCUAUAAGACGAUUGAACUGCUUUUGACUGAAAUGGAUAAGGUCAAGAAGGAUGGUGGUAUUAUGAUCUGAGUGCUACUGACUACUUCAAUCACGACUAUGAUUUCGUGACCGAUGAAGAAGAUGAGGAUGAUCGCGAGGAUUUGGAUGCGCUUAAGUUUUGGGUUUGGAGAGAUGGAAAGUGGACAAAAGAGUUUGUUUUCAAAACGUAUGGUGUUGGGAGGCCGCUGAGGUUUCAGAUGACGAUAGGCUGUUGUACUUUGCUAGUGUGAAUGAUCAGCUGGUGGUGUUUGAUCGCGCCACCGAAGAGAUGAAGCAUCUUGGUGUCCCUUGUGCUUUCGAUUCCAACAAGGAGAUCGUGUUUCCGUUCUCUCUGGACCCUGGUAAAAUCACUUUAAUCUAAUUUAACAUUUAAGUUGGUUUGUAGUACUAGUAUAUAGUAGUAUUAGCUUUGUUGAACUCAAUGAAUUUCAGAUUAUGAAAACCUUGUUGCAAUUUUUGUA